CAUAAUUUUUUCUGUGACUGUAGGUGAUAUGCACGUGCAUGUUUUAGAAAUUUACCAUUUUAUUUCCAAAAUCCUAACCAAAGACUAACCUUGUCGUUCAUAUUUUGGUAUUGAAGAGUUUUACCACUCUUCAAUUCCGUGUGAACCUAGAAGCAGAAUGUCAGCGUUCGUGAAGAAUAUGAUGAACUUUCCUCCUUGAAGAGAUGAUUUAGGGUACUCUGAUAAAAAUUUUAUUGGAAAAAUGAUAUCAAAUUUGACCACUUCACUUCGAUGGAGCAUGUAUCGAGAAGUUAGUAUCAUAUUUGAGUACUUGAAUAGCGAAUGUAUUGAGAAAAUUAUAUAAUAUUUGAGCACAUAGUUAGUGACUGUAUGAAGAAAAUGGUAUCAUAUUUGAGCAUAUAGUUAGUGAAUGUAUGAAGAAAAUGGUAUCAUAUUUGAGCACAUAGUUAGCGCAUGUAUGAAGAAAAUGGUAUCAUAUUUGAGCACUUAAAUAAAGAAUAUCUAGUAAAAAUGACAUCAUGUUUGGUAAGUGGUAUAAUUUUCAGUUAUUUUUAAAAUUAUUAAGAUCUUGAAUGAUGAAUUCAUAGUUCAAAUGAUCAAAGUGAUUUCAACCUUUUUUGUCUUUCGCUCCUAACUGAUUUUCUAAAUUUACAAUAAACUAUAAUUUAAUUUUCAUUAGGAUAGCUAAGAUUUAAAAUAUGUUUCAGGUGGUUUAUGAUGUUAAAUAAUCUAAAAUAAAUUUAAUUGUAUUGAAUUAUUAAUAAAUGGUUAUUAAAUCAUA
Molecule: long non-coding RNA, 781 nt
Organism: Harmonia axyridis
Lineage: Eukaryota; Metazoa; Arthropoda; Insecta; Coleoptera; Coccinellidae
Exons: 9
Source: RefSeq, a predicted model, not a curated record